Molecule: ribosomal RNA, 1413 nt
Filed under: uncultured Propionibacteriaceae bacterium
Lineage: Bacteria; Bacillati; Actinomycetota; Actinomycetes; Propionibacteriales; Propionibacteriaceae
Description: bacterial SSU rRNA
Rfam family: Bacterial small subunit ribosomal RNA
Source: RNAcentral
CAUGGCUCAGGACGAACGCUGGCGGCGUGCUUAACACAUGCAAGUCGAACGGAAAGGCCCUGCUUUUGUGGGGUGCUCGAGUGGCGAACGGGUGAGUAACACGUGAGUAACCUGCCCUUGACUUUGGGAUAACUUCAGGAAACUGGGGCUAAUACCGGAUAGGAGCUCCUGCUGCAUGGUGGGGGUUGGAAAGUUUCGGCGGUUGGGGAUGGACUCGCGGCUUAUCAGCUUGUUGGUGGGGAAGUGGCUUACCAAGGCUUUGACGGGUAGCCGGCCUGAGAGGGUGACCGGCCACAUUGGGACUGAGAUACGGCCCAGACUCCUACGGGAGGCAGCAGUGGGGAAUAUUGCACAAUGGGCGGAAGCCUGAUGCAGCAACGCCGCGUGCGGGAUGACGGCCUUCGGGUUGUAAACCGCUUUCGCCUGUGACGAAGCGUGAGUGACGGUAAUGGGUAAAGAAGCACCGGCUAACUACGUGCCAGCAGCCGCGGUGAUACGUAGGGUGCGAGCGUUGUCCGGAUUUAUUGGGCGUAAAGGGCUCGUAGGUGGUUGAUCGCGUCGGAAGUGUAAUCUUGGGGCUUAACCCUGAGCGUGCUUUCGAUACGGGUUGACUUGAGGAAGGUAGGGGAGAAUGGAAUUCCUGGUGGAGCGGUGGAAUGCGCAGAUAUCAGGAGGAACACCAGUGGCGAAGGCGGUUCUCUGGGCCUUUCCUGACGCUGAGGAGCGAAAGCGUGGGGAGCGAACAGGCUUAGAUACCCUGGUAGUCCACGCUGUAAACGGUGGGUACUAGGUGUGGGGUCCAUUCCACGGGUUCCGUGCCGUAGCUAACGCUUUAAGUACCCCGCCUGGGGAGUACGGCCGCAAGGCUAAAACUCAAAGGAAUUGACGGGGCCCCGCACAAGCGGCGGAGCAUGCGGAUUAAUUCGAUGCAACGCGUAGAACCUUACCUGGGUUUGACAUGGAUCGGGAGCGCUCAGAGAUGGGUGUGCCUCUUUUGGGGUCGGUUCACAGGUGGUGCAUGGCUGUCGUCAGCUCGUGUCGUGAGAUGUUGGGUUAAGUCCCGCAACGAGCGCAACCCUUGUUCACUGUUGCCAGCACGUUAUGGUGGGGACUCAGUGGAGACCGCCGGGGUCAACUCGGAGGAAGGUGGGGAUGACGUCAAGUCAUCAUGCCCCUUAUGUCCAGGGCUUCACGCAUGCUACAAUGGCUGGUACAGAGAGUGGCGAGCCUGUGAGGGUGAGCGAAUCUCGGAAAGCCGGUCUCAGUUCGGAUUGGGGUCUGCAACUCGACCUCAUGAAGUCGGAGUCGCUAGUAAUCGCAGAUCAGCAACGCUGCGGUGAAUACGUUCCCGGGGCUUGUACACACCGCCCGUCAAGUCAUGAAAGUUGGUAACACCCGAAGCCGGUGGCCUAA